AGUGAACGCUGGCGGUAGGCCUAACACAUGCAAGUCGAACGGCAGCACAGUAAGAGCUUGCUCUUACGGGUGGCGAGUGGCGGACGGGUGAGGAAUACAUCGGAAUCUACUUUUUCGUGGGGGAUAACGUAGGGAAACUUACGCUAAUACCGCAUACGACCUACGGGUGAAAGCAGGGGAUCUUCGGACCUUGCGCGAUUGAAUGAGCCGAUGUCGGAUUAGCUAGUUGGCGGGGUAAAGGCCCACCAAGGCGACGAUCCGUAGCUGGUCUGAGAGGAUGAUCCGCCACACUGGAACUGAGACACGGUCCAGACUCCUACGGGAGGCAGCAGUGGGGAAUAUUGGACAAUGGGCGCAAGCCUGAUCCAGCCAUACCGCGUUGGUGAAGAAGGCCUUCGGGUUGUAAAGCCCUUUUGUUGGGAAAGAAAAGCAGCAGGUUAAUACCCCGCUGUUCUGACGGUACCCAAAGAAUAAGCACCGGCUAACUUCGUG
Molecule: ribosomal RNA, 492 nt
Filed under: uncultured bacterium
Lineage: Bacteria
Description: partial 16S ribosomal RNA
Rfam family: Bacterial small subunit ribosomal RNA
Source: RNAcentral